UACGUAGGUGACAAGCGUUGUCCGGAUUUACUGGGCGUAAAGAGCGCGCAGGCGGUCGAUCAAGUCGAGUGUGAAAGCCCCCGGCUCAACUGGGGAGGGUCAUUCGAUACUGAUCGACUCGAAGGCAGGAGAGGGUAGUGGAAUUCCCGGUGUAGUGGUGAAAUGCGUAGAUAUUGGGAAGAACACCGGUGGCGAAGGCGGCCCACUGGAUCGGUACUGACGCUGAGGUGCGAAAGCGUGGGGAGCAAACAGG
Molecule: ribosomal RNA, 253 nt
Filed under: uncultured bacterium
Lineage: Bacteria
Description: partial 16S ribosomal RNA
Rfam family: Bacterial small subunit ribosomal RNA
Source: RNAcentral